UCGAGUUUUGACUGGGUUGUAGCUGGCCUUCCGAGGCAUGUGCACGCCCUGCUCAUCCACUCUACACCUGUGCACACACUGUGGGCUUCAGAUCGUGGAGCGGGCCCUUUAUCGGGCUCGUGAAGCGUGUCUGCGCCUGCGUUUAUCACAAAACCCCAUAAAGUAUCAGAAUGUGUAUUGCGAUGUAACGCAUCUAUAUA
Molecule: unclassified non-coding RNA, 200 nt
Filed under: uncultured Ganoderma
Lineage: Eukaryota; Fungi; Basidiomycota; Agaricomycetes; Polyporales; Polyporaceae
Description: sequence contains ITS1
Source: RNAcentral